This 1088-nucleotide long non-coding RNA is filed under the name Salvia miltiorrhiza (redroot sage). RNAcentral describes it as "long non-coding RNA (SMIL_LNC002429)". The record is from RNAcentral. Lineage: Eukaryota; Viridiplantae; Streptophyta; Magnoliopsida; Lamiales; Lamiaceae.
AAUUUCCUACAUCCUCAAAGGUACAUGAAUAUUUGGAUAAAGGAAGAACGAUUGUAUAUGAGUUAGAUAUAGUCGUUUAAGGAAAUAUGGGUAGUUAGAUAAAUGAGUGAAUAGUGAUUCACUGCAUUUGUUGUUAUCUUUUCUAUUAUUCACUCGAACACAUGUUUUCGUGUUAUCAAAGGUUCAAAUAAACAAAAGCGUCUGAGUAACCCAUCGCGCUAAGGAAAGAGAAUCAUUGUCUUAAGUAGCAAAACACUGCAAUCAGGUGGGCAUUACUUUUACUAUACGUAUAUAGAGAUCCCCUGCGUGUCGUAGGCCUCUUAUACGAAUGAAUGCAUGAGAUGAUUUAACUGUUAAUUUCAGUUUUAUAUAUCUAUCAAACGAAUUUAAUGUUACAUUUAAACAAGUUAUUUCAUGACAAAAAUCUUUGAGUUAAAGUUAUUUCAAGUAUUGUCUUGCCAUAAAAUGUUUAAAUUUUAGUAUGAUAUCUAUCUGCUUUGGCUUUGCCAAUGAUGCAAUCGAAUUCGGGUCCUGAGCAGUUGAUAGCUAUCCUGCCAGGGCUAGUGUACACCAGUGACCGUGAGUCAUCUAGCGGGUUGGCCGGUCAAGUGACCGUGAGAGGUGGCCACCUCUCCGGCACACAGUUCCAGAUAUGAUAGAUUACAAGAGAACUUAGUCUGCAGACGAACUUUAAGAAUCACAAAUGAACUUAGUAAGCUUGGGCCUUUUUAGCGAAAAACUCCCUUGCUGUACUGUUUAUGAUGGCAUGACAAUUUACAGUUUUGAAGCAUGUAUUUUUAUACCUAGGCAUACGUGCCCACUGAGUGCUUUUGUACUCAGCCCUGCAUAUGUUUUCUAAAUGUGCAGGUUGAGCUGAUGUGAUGAUGGUGCUGCAAUAAGCGGAGUCUCCAGGGUUGUUAAUAAAUAGUUAACCUGUCUAGAAUAUGUCUUCAUACAUAUGUCUAGCUACUUUCCGCUGCAAGAUGUUGUUGAUGUUAUAGUAUGUUAUGUCAUACUUUGAGUCUUAAGAGAAUGGUUUCAUAUGAUGUAUAACUUGAUUAAUGAUAUUAAUUAAGUUUUAUGCUGUC